RNAcentral lists this ribosomal RNA (479 nucleotides) under uncultured bacterium. RNAcentral's name for it is "bacterial SSU rRNA". It matches the Rfam family "Bacterial small subunit ribosomal RNA", at positions 364 to 833 of the family's 1533-position model. The record is from RNAcentral.
UUUCGCAAUGCCCGAAAGGGUGACGAAGCGACGCCGCGUGAGCGAAGAAGGCCCUAGGGUUGUAAAGCUCUGUCAGGAGUUAGGAAAUGCAAGGGUGUUAAUAGCGCCUUUGCUUGACUAAGGCUCCAGAGGAAGCCACGGCUAACUCUGUGCCAGUAGCCGCGGUAAUACAGAGGUGGCAAGCGUUGUUCGGUAUUAUUGGGCGUAAAGAGCACGUAGGUGGUUUUGUAAGUCAGAUGUGAAAGCCUUCUGUUCAAAGGAAGAACGGCAUCUGAAACUGCGGAUCUUGAGUGUAGGAGGGGAGAGUGGAACUUCUGGUGGAGCGGUGAAAUGCGUAGAUAUCAGAAGGAACGUCGGCGGCGAAAGCGACUCUCUGGCCUAUUACUGACACUGAGUGUGCGAAAGUUAGGGGAGCAAACGGGAUUAGAUACCCCGGUAGUCCUAACCGUAAACGAUGGGCACUAAGUAGAGGGGUUUUA